This 471-nucleotide long non-coding RNA is filed under the name Musa acuminata (dwarf banana). RNAcentral's name for it is "long non-coding RNA (MACU_LNC011468)". The record is from RNAcentral. Lineage: Eukaryota; Viridiplantae; Streptophyta; Magnoliopsida; Zingiberales; Musaceae.
AAUUAUUAUUUUGAUUUUUUUUCAAUCUCUUCUUACAUAUAAAUAUUUUCUAACAAAAACAAAAGAUUUUUGGAAUAGAUAUUGAGCAACGGCGUGUACAAAAGCAUCGAGCAUCGGACGAUAAUAAACGCCAAGGAGAAGCGCCUCUCGAUCGCUACCUUUCAUGGGCCAAGAGAAUAUUCGGUGAUUGGUCCUCUUGCAGAGAUUGUGAAGGGGUGCAAGCCGAAGUACGUGUCGAUGAGCUUUGGAAAAUUCAUGAAAGCUUACUUCUCCGCUGAACUGAAAGGGAAGAGGUUUAUGAAAAACCUCAAGCUAUAGAAGCCUCUAAUGGUAGAAAGUUUAUGGUGUGUUGCUUGAACUUGAUAAUAAGUGUGUUUCGGUAUCUACUUUAUGGAAGCAUCAAAUAAACAUAUAGUAUAAUAUUGUGUAUAUAAAUCUUUGUAUGUUUAAAGUGAGUUGACUUAGUGUUCG